CCUACGGGUGGCUGCAGUGGGGAAUAUUGCACAAUGGGGGAAACCCUGAUGCAGCGACGCCGCGUGAGUGAAGAAGUAUUUCGGUAUGUAAAGCUCUGUCAGCAGGGAAGAAAAUGACGGUACCUGACCAAGAAGCCCCGGCUAACUACGUGCCAGCAGCCGCGGUAAUACGUAGGGGGCAAGCGUUAUCCGGAUUUACUGGGUGUAAAGGGAGCGUAGACGGCAGGGCAAGUCUGGGGUGAAAGGCGGGGGCCAAACCCCCGGACUGCUCUGGAAACUGCCAGGCUGGAGGGCAGAGAGGUAAGUGGAAUUCCUAGUGUAGCGGUGAAAUGCGUAGAUAUUAGGAGGAACACCAGUGGCGAAGGCGGCUUACUGGACUGUAACUGACGUUGAGGCUCGAAAGCGUGGGGAGCAAACAGGAUUAGAUACCCCAGUAGUC
Molecule: ribosomal RNA, 439 nt
Filed under: uncultured bacterium
Lineage: Bacteria
Description: partial 16S ribosomal RNA
Rfam family: Bacterial small subunit ribosomal RNA
Source: RNAcentral